RNAcentral lists this transfer RNA (72 nucleotides) under Camelus bactrianus (Bactrian camel). It matches the Rfam family "tRNA". Rfam says of the family: Transfer RNA (tRNA) molecules are approximately 80 nucleotides in length. Their secondary structure includes four short double-helical elements and three loops (D, anti-codon, and T loops). Further hydrogen bonds mediate the characteristic L-shaped molecular structure. tRNAs have two regions of fundamental functional importance: the anti-codon, which is responsible for specific mRNA codon recognition, and the 3' end, to which the tRNAs corresponding amino acid is attached (by aminoacyl-tRNA synthetases). tRNAs cope with the degeneracy of the genetic code in two manners: having more than one tRNA (with a specific anti-codon) for a particular amino acid; and 'wobble' base-pairing, i.e. permitting non-standard base-pairing at the 3rd anti-codon position. RNAcentral also lists the same sequence under 2 other names. Lineage: Eukaryota; Metazoa; Chordata; Mammalia; Artiodactyla; Camelidae. The record is from Rfam by way of RNAcentral.
GAGGGUAGAGCUCAGUGGUAGAGUGUGUGCUUUGCAUGCACGAGGUUCCGGGUUCAAUCCCCAGUACCUCCA